RNAcentral lists this long non-coding RNA (671 nucleotides) under Salvator merianae (Argentine black and white tegu). RNAcentral describes it as "lncRNA (ENSSMRG00000022868.1)". Lineage: Eukaryota; Metazoa; Chordata; Lepidosauria; Squamata; Teiidae. The record is from RNAcentral.
AGAUGCACUGCGCCCCUUUCUCCUUUCCAAACGUGGAAUAAAAUGUAACCCCCGCAUACACACACACCGCCGCCGAAAUUUUAUAGAACUUUAUUCAUUUGGUAUUAAUUUGCACAGUAUUAUUAUUGUCACUGCAGGCAAAGCCUGUGACGCUGUCUUUGAAGAACAUCUCUCAACUGCAUCGCCGUUCCGCCUGGAUUCAUCGCUGACCCCCUCGACGCGCGGGAAAAACGGCUGCCUGCUGCUGCCUGCACGAAUGCAGCAGGGAGGAGGAAGAAGACGGCGCUGGGGAGGGACGGAAGGGCGAAAAUGGGACUGCUGUGUGUCUCCAACAUGUGCAUAGAUGUUGCUGUUUGGAAAAUGCAAAGCUUCACACUGAGCUUAUUUACUCCUCUGUUGGUGGAUUAUCACAGACNGAGAAGCCUUAGCUAACAUGCUAGUUCCAGUGGGCAGCCAUACUUCACCCCGCAUCCUGCAGUUCUUCCAAGCUUUCACUGUUUAAUAGAGAGCAACUGGGAGAGGAAAAAGAUUGCUUGUUAUAUAAAGUACACGCUGAUAAACUCUUCCUCUGAAAGUGUAUCAAAAGAGAGAAGAAAAUCUCUCAGUGGACUUAUUUUCUGGUAAAUGUGGAAAAAACUAGUUCAUGAAUUUUGCAGCUGCAUGUACUGAUU